GAUGUUUCAUGGAACUUCCUUUACACCAUAUGGACCUGAACAGCAAGUGGAUGAAUGUUAUGUUUUGUUAUCCUCAUAAAAAGCAUAAACACAAAUGCUCCUCCUAAACAGCUGGAGUGUAGAAGUUUAUACACUGAGGUCUAUGCCACACUUUCAUUACAAAGCUCUUAGUCUGUAUAAGGCAUGACCCAUAUACACCAAGGAAGGGGAAGACACAAAUAUAACUUGCAAGACCCAGUAUCUUAUGAGAGAGAUGGGAAAGGCCUCAUCAUAGCACACGUUUCUGCAACCAGG
Long non-coding RNA from Poecile atricapillus (Black-capped chickadee), 294 nucleotides. RefSeq lists it as uncharacterized. The transcript is spliced from 3 exons. NCBI's taxonomy places the organism in Eukaryota, Metazoa, Chordata, Aves, Passeriformes, Paridae. The record is from RefSeq and is a predicted model, not a curated record.